AACGAACGCUGGCGGCAUGCCUAACACAUGCAAGUCGAACGAGACCUUCGGGUCUAGUGGCGCACGGGUGCGUAACGCGUGGGAACCUGCCCUUAGGUUCGGAAUAACUCCCCGAAGGGGGUGCUAAUACCGGAUAAUGUCUUCGGACCAAAGAUUUAUCGCCUUUGGAUGGGCCCGCGUUGGAUUAGCUAGUUGGUAGGGUAAAAGCCUACCAAGGCGACGAUCCAUAGCUGGUUUGAGAGGAUGAUCAGCCACACUGGGACUGAGACACGGCCCAGACUCCUACGGGAGGCAGCAGUGGGGAAUAUUGGACAAUGGGCGGAAGCCUGAUCCAGCAAUGCCGCGUGAGUGAUGAAGGCCUUAGGGUUGUAAAGCUCUUUUACCCGGGAUGAUAAUGACAGUACCGGGAGAAUAAGUUCCGGCUAACCCCGUG
Molecule: ribosomal RNA, 433 nt
Filed under: uncultured bacterium
Lineage: Bacteria
Description: partial 16S ribosomal RNA
Rfam family: Bacterial small subunit ribosomal RNA
Source: RNAcentral